This 426-nucleotide ribosomal RNA is filed under the name uncultured bacterium. RNAcentral describes it as "bacterial SSU rRNA". It matches the Rfam family "Bacterial small subunit ribosomal RNA", at positions 83 to 507 of the family's 1533-position model. The record is from RNAcentral.
ACUAGACGACGACCGGCGCACGGGUGAGUAACGCGUAUGUAAUCUGCCUUGUACAGAGGGAUAGCCCAGAGAAAUUUGGAUUAAUACCUCAUAGUAUUACUGAAUCGCAUGAUUCGGUAAUUAAAGCUCCGGCGGUACAAGAUGAACAUGCGUGACAUUAGCUAGUUGGUAAGGUAACGGCUUACCAAGGCAACGAUGUCUAGGGGUUCUGAGAGGAUGAUCCCCCACACUGGUACUGAGACACGGACCAGACUCCUACGGGAGGCAGCAGUGAGGAAUAUUGGUCAAUGGACGCAAGUCUGAACCAGCCAUCCCGCGUGAAGGAUGACUGCCCUAUGGGUUGUAAACUUCUUUUAUAUGCAAAUAAACCUACUUUCGUGAAAGUAGCUGAAGGUAGCAUAUGAAUAAACACCGGCUAACUCCGUG